Molecule: unclassified non-coding RNA, 237 nt
Filed under: Mucoromycotina sp.
Lineage: Eukaryota; Fungi; Mucoromycota
Description: partial contains small subunit ribosomal RNA, internal transcribed spacer 1, and 5.8S ribosomal RNA
Rfam family: Eukaryotic small subunit ribosomal RNA (bases 1-47)
Source: RNAcentral
AAAGUCGUAACAAGGUUUCCGUAGGUGAACCUGCGGAAGGAUCAUUCACAAUGAGUGUUUAAUGGCACUUCAAAUCCAUUACCCACCUUGUGUGCAUUGUCGGGAGAACUCUCUCAAUCUCUCUCGGGAGGAAGAGGAGGUUCUCUUUCAUACAUACUCUGUUCUUUCAGUAUCAGUCUACUUCAAUUGAGUAAUAAAACUCGAAUACAACUUUCAACAACGGAUCUCUUGGCUCUC